AGUGAACGCUGGCGGCAUGCCUAACACAUGCAAGUCGAACGGCAGCACAGUAAGCGCUCUCUCUUACGGUUGGCGACUGGCGGAUGGGUGAUGAAUACAUCGCCAUCUACUUUUUCUUGGGGGACAACGUCGGGAUUCAUACCCUAUUCCCGCUUACGAUCAACGGGUGAAAGCAGGAGAUCUUCGGCCCUUGCGCGAUCCAAUGAGCCGAUGUCGGAUUAGCUAGUUGGCGGGGUAACGGCCCACCAAGGCGACGAUCCGUAGCUGGUCUGAGAGGAUGAUCAGCCACACUGGAACUGAGACACGGUCCAGACUCCUACGGGAGGCAGCAGUGGGGAAUAUUGGACAAUGGGCGAAAGCCUGAUCCAGCCAUGCCGCGUGGGUGAAGAAGGCCUUCGGGUUGUAAAGCGCUUUUGUUGGGGAAGAAAAGCAGCGGGAUAAUACCCCGCUGUGAUGACGGUACCGAAAGAAUAAGCACCGGCUAACUUCGUG
This 492-nucleotide ribosomal RNA is filed under the name uncultured bacterium. RNAcentral's name for it is "partial 16S ribosomal RNA". It matches the Rfam family "Bacterial small subunit ribosomal RNA", at positions 29 to 507 of the family's 1533-position model. The record is from RNAcentral.